Molecule: ribosomal RNA, 469 nt
Filed under: uncultured bacterium
Lineage: Bacteria
Description: partial 16S ribosomal RNA
Rfam family: Bacterial small subunit ribosomal RNA
Source: RNAcentral
GACGAACGCUGGCGGCGUGCUUAACACAUGCAAGUCGAACGGUGAAGCGAGUGCUUGCACUCGUGGAUCAGUGGCGAACGGGUGAGUAACACGUGAGUAACCUGCCCAUCACUAUGGGAUAAGCACUGGAAACGGUGUCUAAGACUGGAUACGACCAACCCUUGCAUGGGGUGUUGGUGGAUAGAUUUAUCGGUGAUGUAUGAACUCGCGGCCUUGCAGCUUGUUGGCGUGGUAAUGGCCGACCAAGGCGACGACGAGUAGCCGGCCUGAGGGGGUGACCGGCCACACUGGGACUGAGACACGGCCCAGACUCCGACGGGAGGCAGCAGUGGCGAAUAUUGCACAAGGGGCGAGAGCCUGAUGCAGCGACGCCGCGUGAGGGAUGACGGCCUUCGGGUUGUAAACCUCUUUCAGCAGGGAAGAAGCGAAAGUGACGGUACCUGAAGAAGAAGCACCGGCUAACUACGUG